GGUUAUGGGAACAAACACAAAUUGAUAUUAUAGCCUUUUUUAUAAUGACAAGAGAUGGGCAUAAUAAUCGAUCAAUUGAUCAUAAAGGAUUCUUGUGUGGCGCCGAUUGUUAAUAGUUUUUCAAGGGGUCAGAUGAUGUUGAAUUGACUUUGCAUCGAUUUCAU
Molecule: long non-coding RNA, 164 nt
Organism: Hippocampus comes (tiger tail seahorse)
Lineage: Eukaryota; Metazoa; Chordata; Actinopteri; Syngnathiformes; Syngnathidae
Exons: 2
Source: RefSeq, a predicted model, not a curated record